UUUCACUAUUAUUUAUAUUCCCCAAAUGAAUGAGAACAUAUAAUGUUUGUCCUUCUCCGAUUGACUUACUUUACUCAGCAUAAUACCCUCCAGUUCCAUCCACGUUGAAGCAAAUGGUGGAUAUUUGUCGUUUCUAAUGGCUGAGGAAUAUUCCAUUGUAUACAUAAACCACAUCUUCUUUAUCCAUUCAUCUUACGAUGGACACCGAGGCUCCUUCCACAGUUUGGCUAUUGUGGCCAUUGCUGCUAUAAACAUCGGGGUGCAGAUGUCCCUGCGUUUCAUUGCAUCUGUAUCUUUGGGGUAAAUCCCCAACAGUGCAAUUGCUGGGUGGUAGGGCAGAUCUAUUUUUAACUCUUCAAGAAACCUCUACACAGUUUUCCAGAGUGGCUGCACCAGUUCACAUUCCCACCAACAGGGUAAGAGGGUUCCCUUUUCUCCGCAUCCUCUCCAACAUUUGUGGUUUCCUGCCUUGUUAAUUUUCCCCAUUCUCACUGGUGUGAGGUGGUAUCUCAUUGUGGUUUUGAUUUGUAUUUCCCUGAUGGCAAGUGAUGCAGAGCAUUUUCUCAUGUGCUUGUUGGCCAUGUCUAUGUCUUCCUCUGUGAGAUUUCUCUUCAUGUCUUUUGCCCAUUUCAUGAUUGGAUUGUUUAUUUCUUUGGUGUUGAGUUUAAUAAGUUCUUUAUAGAUCUUGGAAACUAACCCUUUAUCUGAUAUGUCAUUUGCAAAUAUCUUCUCCCAUUCUGUAGGUUGUCUUUGAGUUUUGUUGACUGUAUCCUUUGCUGUGCAAAAGCUUCUUAUUUUGAUGAAGUUCCAAUAAUUCAUUUUUGCUUUUGUUUCUCUUGCCUUCGUGGAUGUAUCUUGCAAGAAGUUACUGUGGCUGAGUUCAAAAAGGGUGUUGCCUGUGUUCUCCUCUAGGAUUUUGAUGGAAUCUUGUCUCACAUUUAGAUCUUUCAUCCAUUUUGAGUUUAUCUUUGUGUAUGGUGCAAGACAGUGGUCUAGUUUCAUUCUUCUGCACGUGGAUGUCCAAUUUUCCCAGCACCAUUUAUUGAAGAGACUGUCUUUCUUCCAAUGGAUAGUCUUUCCUCCUUUGUCGAAUAUUAGUUGACCAUAAAGUUCAGGGUCCACUUCUGGGUUCUCUAUUCUGUUCCAUUGAUCUAUGUGUCUGUUUUUGUGCCAGUACCACACUGUCUUGAUGACCACAGCUUUGUAGUACAACCUGAAAUCUGGCAUUGUGAUGCCCCCAGAUACGGUUUUCUUUUUUAAAAUGCCCCUGGCUAUUCGAGGUCUUUUCUGAUUCCACACAAAACUUAAAAUAAUUUGUUCUAACUCUGAAGAAAGUCCAUGGUAUUUUGAUAGGGAUUGCAUUAAACGUGUCAAUUGCCCUGGGUAACAUUGACAUUUUCACAAUAUUAAUUCUGCCAAUCCAUGAGCAUGGAAUAUUUUUCCAUCUCUUUGUGUCUUCCUCAAUUUCUUUCAGAAGUGUUCUAUAGUUUUUAGGGUAUAGAUCCUUUACCUCUUUGGUUAGGUUUAUUCCUAGGUAUCUUAUGCUUUUGGGUGCAAUUGUAAAUGGGAUUGACUCCUUAAUUUCUCUUUCCUCAACUUCAUUGUUAGUGUAUAGAAAUGCCACUGAUUUCUGAGCAUUGAUUUUGUAUCCUGCCACGCUACCAAAUUGCUGUAUUAGUUCUAGCAAUCUUGGGGUGGAGGCUUUUGGGUUUUCUAUGUAGAGUAUCAUGUCAUCGGUGAAGAGGGAGAGUUUGACUUCUUCUUUGCCAAUUUGAAUGUCUUUAAUGUCUUUUUGUUGUCUGAUUGCUGAGGCUAGGACUUCCAGUACUAUGUUGAAUAGCAGUGCUGAGAGUGGACAUCCCUGUCUUGUUCCUGAUCUUAGGGGAAAGGCUCCCAGUGUUUCCCCAUUGAGAAUGAUAUUUGCUGUGGGCUUUUCGUAGAUGGCUUUUAAGAUGCUGAGGAAUGUUCCCUCUAUCCCUACACUCUGAAGAGUUUUGAUCAGGAAUGGAUGCUGUAUUUUGUCAAAUGCUUUCUCUGCAUCUAAUGAGAGGAUCAUAUGGUUCUUGGUUUUUCUCUUGCUGAUAUGAUGAAUCACAUUGAUUGUUUUACGGGUGUUGAACCAGCCUUGCAUCCCGGGGAUAAAUCCUACUUGGUCGUGGUGAAUAAUUUUCUUAAUGUGCUGUUGGAUCCUAUUGGCUAGUAUCUUGUUGAGAAUUUUUGCAUCCAUGUUCAUCAGGGAUAUUGGCCUGUAAUUCUCCUUUUUGGUGGGGUCUUUGUCUGGUUUUGUAAUUAAGGUGAUGCUGGCCUCAUAGAACGAAUCUGGAAGUACUCCAUCUCUUUCUAUCUUUCCAAACAGCUUUAGUAGAAUAGGUAUGGUUUCUUCUUUAAACGUUUGAUAGAAUUCCCCUGGGAAGCCAUCUGGCCCUGGACUUUUGUGUCUUGGGAGGUUUUUGAUGACUGCUUCAAUUUCCUCCCUGGUUA
RNAcentral lists this long non-coding RNA (2481 nucleotides) under Canis lupus familiaris (dog). Its description in RNAcentral is "lncRNA (ENSCAFG00845025616.1)". The record is from RNAcentral. Lineage: Eukaryota; Metazoa; Chordata; Mammalia; Carnivora; Canidae.